This 456-nucleotide ribosomal RNA is filed under the name uncultured bacterium. RNAcentral's name for it is "bacterial SSU rRNA". It matches the Rfam family "Bacterial small subunit ribosomal RNA", at positions 65 to 518 of the family's 1533-position model. The record is from RNAcentral.
AGCAUAUAGAUAGCUGCUAUUAUGAUGCGACCGCGCACGGGUGAGUAACGCGUAUCCAACCUUCCCCAUAGUAGGGUAUAGACCCGGCGAAAGUCGGAUUAAUCCCCUAUGUUGUUUGAAGCGGACAUCUAAUUCAAACCAAGAUUCAUCGCUAUGGGAUGGGGAUGCGUCUGAUUAGGUUGCAGGCGGGGUAACGGCCCACCUGGCCGACGAUCAGUAGGGGUUCUGAGAGGAAGGUCCCCCACACUGGUACUGAGACACGGACCAGACUCCUACGGGAGGCAGCAGUGAGGAAUAUUGGUCAAUGGGCGCGAGCCUGAACCAGCCAAGUAGCGUGCAAGGAUGACGGCCCUACGGGUUGUAAAACUGCUUUUAUGCGGGGAUAAAGUGCGGCACGUGUGCCGUUUUGCAGGUACCGCAUGAAUAAGGACCGGCUAAUUCCGUGCCAGCAGCAGC